Molecule: ribosomal RNA, 325 nt
Filed under: uncultured eukaryote
Lineage: Eukaryota
Description: partial 18S ribosomal RNA
Rfam family: Eukaryotic small subunit ribosomal RNA
Source: RNAcentral
CCCCUAGAUGUUCUGGGCCGCACGCGCGCUACACUGAACAGUUCAACAAGUCUUAACCUUGGCCGAUAGGUCUGGGUAAUCUUUGAACGCUGUUCGUGAUUGGGAUAGACCUUUGCAAUUAUGGGUCUUCAACGAGGAAUUCCUAGUAAACGCAAGUCAUCAGCUUGCAUUGAUUACGUCCCUGCCCUUUGUACACACCGCCCGUCGCUCCUACCGAUUGAGCAAACCGGUGAAUAGUUUGGACCGUCGGCUUUCUCGGUUCGCCGGGUUAGCAGUACGGAAAAUUCAGUGAACCUUUUUGCUUAGAGGAAGGAGAAGUCGUAAC